CAGGGCUCCGCGCGCGUGCUCGGCGCGGCCUAGGCGUUCCCGCCCGCGGCGCGGAGGCGCGUGGGCGGGAUCCCGGCUCCGCGGCCGAGCUCGCUCGCCAGCGCCGCGGCUUUCCCAGCCUCAGUUUCCCUCACCACAGAAAACAGGCCUGUGCAGCCUCUUGGGGCAGAGGGGAGCAAGCCUGUGCUUCAAGUGAGAAAGCUUCUGAUGGACCUGAAGGGGAGCCUGGUGUCAUGAUCUGAUGUCUGGUUUCAUCUGCAUGAUUGAGCACUGAAGUUCAAGAAAUUUAAGUGUCUAUAUUUUUUUUUGUGUUAAAAAGGCAUUUUUAAGGAUUUUAGAAAAACUAUACAUGGUUUUCUGUUUUCUUCCAGUACCUCUGUCCUAGUGCCUGUCUCUUUUAAAUGUGACUUUUAGGGCUGGAGGGCUGGCUCAGGGGUUGCAGCACUGCUCAGGCACAGUCUCAGCACCCGUGUUGGACACCAUUAAGCCUCUAUAACUCCAGCUCCAAGGAGUCCAGAGCCUCCUCUUGUCUCCAUGGUCACCUACAUACAGAUGUGUGUGAGAGUGGCACAUACACAAACACAGUUCUUGAAAUUUGUUAGUCUACUCUGCGGUGCUUGGCAGUGUAAGCAUGGCUGUGGCUAUUCUAGACAAAAGCUCUGCCAUGGAGAUGCACCCUAGCACUGUCAGGCUGCAAGACACCUGUGCUGGUUGCAGAAGUCUUCAAGCUGUUUCCCUUCUCAUCUUGAUUGGUGAACAUGGGUCUCUGUGUGGAUGGCAGAUGCAAUAAUCUGUCUACUGUGGAAGUUGCUGGCUAGGUUGUUUAUGGCCAGCGUGAUGAAAAUGUCUCCGAGGAGGACAGUUCUUUAGCUGGCUCCUUCAGCUGGGCUUCCUGGACCUCCAUCUUUAGCCCCCACUGAGCUAGGAAGAGCACUAUGGGUCCUUCACGUGAGCAAUGAGGAUGCUCACGUGUGUUCUUUGCCUAGUGGCUGGGCAAAGCCUUGCUCAAUGGUGCAUAGGCCCUCCCUCAAACCUUGCUAAAGGCUGACUGAUUGGGUGGGCAUGGCGGAGGCCCUGGGUUCUGCACUGAUAUACUCUCAGAAGACACUCAUGCUGCAGACCUUGCCUGGAGCGCUCCUCCAAGCAGCUUGCAGUAUUCUUGGAGAAACUUAUUUGCAUGUGGAGGGAAACCUGAAGGCCUGAGUAUUUAGGCUACUUGAUGACAACAGGCUUUCCCCUAAAUCCCUAACUACUUAGACCAUUAUGUGCUGCUCAUAGAUUCUCUGCUCCUCUGUUGGGGGUGGAUGUGGUGCAGCAGUGUGAGUAACGGACCCAGGUGGUGGGGGCCAGAGAACAGUCCCCUUCUCACUGUUUUUCUGGGGGUAGGCAUCUCAAAGAUUUGGUGUGUGACAUACACACUUGUGAGUUGUGUGGGUUUCUGGAGCUAAGAGUAAAAGCUAUCGAUCAAGUGAUGUUUGCUGUUUUACAGUUCCACCAGAUAAGGUGUCCCAAGCACUUGACAUCUUCCAUAUUUUGUCUUUGAUUGUAUUGCUCUAAUUUUUAUUACCCUGAUGACCAGUGAAAUUUUUCCUGUGCUUAUUAGCCAUAUGUUCUAUCUUCCUUCUGAAAUUUUGACUCAAAACUUUUGCCGUGUUUAUGACUUGUUAUCAUAUUGAAUCAUACACGUUCUUUAUAUGUUAUGGAUGCAUGUGGUUCUCCUCCUGCCUGGGGGAAUGUCUCGUACCAGUCCAUGAAGUCAGGAGAAGCACAAGACUAGAAGGUGAUUUAAGUAUCCUGCCAGACCCAGAUGUUUCCUAUAUCCACAGCAGCACCAAAGCAGCUACCACAAUUGUUCCAGUCUGACCUCACAGACUUCCAUCAAGUUGGACCUGCACUUUCCCUCCCAUCCGUGGAUGUUCUCACAGACCUUGGACAGCAUCAAAACAGCCUUUUCUUCCUGGACUUGGCCAGCAUUUCAGCCUUUGCCAGCACCUCCUGUGUCAACAGAAAGAAGCCAGAAGAGACUCUCCACCAGUUAUUCACUUAUUAUUAAUAAAAGGCUGGAAUGGUGUGCUUCAGGGCCAGGACAAGUAGCUCCAGGUUCUCCCAGCAUUCCUCAGUCACUACCUGCUGUAGUAUGUGGCUGGCAACUCUACUGGCAACCCUCUACCCUGAACAUUCCAGGGCAGGGACUUUCUCUCCUCAACAUUUUUCUCUCUCUCUCUCUUACUUCCUUGCAUGGCAACCAAGAGCUCCUUCCAAUGAACCUUCACUUAUAUACUUUAACCUGCCUUACAUGAAAAGCAGCCCAAGCUCCUCAUUUUUUAAUUAUAGAAAAAGGGAGGAAUGUUAGUAUUUAGAUAGCCUGCUUCUGGGUUGCCUAGUAACCUAUGAUGUCAUCAUGUGUCACCUGCCAGGUGGCUACACUUGGCAGACGUGGUUCAGUUGCUCCAUAAAAGGAUCAGCCAACCACUUGUCUCUCUUGCCCUCUUACUCUCUUGCUCUCUUGCUCUCCUUUCUCUGUCAGGAUGCCCCCUUCCUUCCCCCAUCAUGUCUCUCUCUUCAUCUCCAGCCAAUAAACGUCUCUCAUAUAAAA
Molecule: long non-coding RNA, 2596 nt
Organism: Meriones unguiculatus (Mongolian gerbil)
Lineage: Eukaryota; Metazoa; Chordata; Mammalia; Rodentia; Muridae
Exons: 3
Source: RefSeq, a predicted model, not a curated record